This 253-nucleotide ribosomal RNA is filed under the name uncultured bacterium. Its description in RNAcentral is "partial 16S ribosomal RNA". It matches the Rfam family "Bacterial small subunit ribosomal RNA", at positions 524 to 776 of the family's 1533-position model. The record is from RNAcentral.
UACGGAGGGGGCUAGCGUUGUUCGGAAUUACUGGGCGUAAAGCGCACGUAGGCGGCUUUGCAAGUUAGAGGUGAAAGCCCGGGGCUCAACUCCGGAAUUGCCUUUAAAACUGCAUCGCUAGAAUUGUGGAGAGGUAAGUGGAAUUCCGAGUGUAGAGGUGAAAUUCGUAGAUAUUCGGAAGAACGCCAGUGGCGAAGGCGACUUACUGGACACAUAUUGACGCUGAGGUGCGAAAGCGUGGGGAGCAAACAGG